This 253-nucleotide ribosomal RNA is filed under the name uncultured bacterium. RNAcentral describes it as "partial 16S ribosomal RNA". It matches the Rfam family "Bacterial small subunit ribosomal RNA", at positions 524 to 776 of the family's 1533-position model. The record is from RNAcentral.
UACGUAGGGCGCGAGCGUUGUCCGGAAUUAUUGGGCGUAAAGAGCUCGUAGGCGGCCUGUUGCGUCCGCUGUGAAAUCCCAGGGCUCAACCCUGGGCGUGCAGUGGGUACGGGCAGACUAGAGUGCGGUAGGGGAGAUUGGAAUUCCUGGUGUAGCGGUGGAAUGCGCAGAUAUCAGGAGGAACACCGAUGGCGAAGGCAGGUCACUGGGCCGCAACUGACGCUGAGGAGCGAAAGCAUGGGGAGCGAACAGG